Molecule: long non-coding RNA, 449 nt
Organism: Manis pentadactyla (Chinese pangolin)
Lineage: Eukaryota; Metazoa; Chordata; Mammalia; Pholidota; Manidae
Exons: 2
Source: RefSeq, a predicted model, not a curated record
GGAAGACGAGGAGUGGUCUGAAAGUGGGGAGAGUUCUGCCAAGCUGCCUGGAUGGAUGUCAGGCCCUGUGUGCCCAGAGCCAGUUGCCCAAGGCCCCUGGUUAUUUUUUGACUCCUUGAGCCCUGGGAGAGCAGACACAGAGCGGCUGCAGAGAGAAGACAGGACCGUCCCUGCGGCAGUGGAAGAGCCAGACUUGAACCCCAGUCCCACGCCUACUGGGUCUUUCUGCUGCAUGGGAGGGAGGGCUGGCGAAGAGCUGGACUGUGGAUGUGGACACACCUGGGGUUGAGUCCCAGCCCUGCUGUUUCCAGAUGAUGGAACCUUAGAUGGGCAUCUUAACCUCACUGAGCCUCAGUUUCCUCAUCUGUAAAGCAGGGAUAAUUUUCUUAGGGUUAUUGUGACAAUUCAAUGACAUAACAGAAGUAAAAUACAUUGAGGACAGUGUCUGA